GGGCAGGGCCCGGGAGGGGCCGGGCUGGCAUCGGCGGCCUCCAAUGGGGGCGAGCGGGGGCCGCCCGCGGGGCUCCGCGCAGCUCGGCGGCGGCUCGGCGGGGAGAAGGCGGCCGGAGGAGAGGACGGGAGCCGGGCGUCCGAGGAGCCGGGUGCGGACGCCCUGUGCGAGCCCAAGGUGAGCGAGGUUCCUCAGGAGCAAAAAACCUAGCAAAUAUGUGAGUACUUUUAAGAGAAAUCUGGAACUCUUUAUUUUCUACACUGCUAGCACCUGGUUUUAAAUCAGACAACUUUUGGUUAACACGUACAAGUGAGGGGGAUUUGUGGGCCUUUUUAUUGCCAAUCAAUCUGUGACAACUAAUUUUUGCGUUGAUUUUUACCAAUGGAUCCCUGCUUCGCCUUGACUUCUGCUUUGCUUGGAAGCUGUGGAGCGCAGGGAGCUAAAGCCAAGCCUUUCGCACGGAGUUUUAGGUCCUGGACUCAGUUAUAGGAAAGGCCUAAGCGUGGGAAAUCCCAUCCUUCUUUUUCUAAUUCCUUUUCAUCUCCGGUUGGACCCACUGAGGCUUUACACCCGCUCCGAAGGAAAUUAAAUUGUGAUUAAAUAUUAGGUAAAUUAUAAAGGGAUCUGGCAGGAGGGAUGUGGGCUCGGGCAGCUCGUUUUGGGGAGCCGGCUAG
This 674-nucleotide long non-coding RNA is filed under the name Anas zonorhyncha (Eastern spot-billed duck). Its description in RNAcentral is "lncRNA (ENSAZOG00000012335.1)". The record is from RNAcentral. Lineage: Eukaryota; Metazoa; Chordata; Aves; Anseriformes; Anatidae.